Molecule: ribosomal RNA, 569 nt
Filed under: Triticum aestivum (bread wheat)
Lineage: Eukaryota; Viridiplantae; Streptophyta; Magnoliopsida; Poales; Poaceae
Description: partial small subunit ribosomal RNA
Source: RNAcentral
CAAGUUAUAGAUUAAAAACAAGUCAAGUUAAGAAUAAAAUCUUUUUUUAACUUAACAAAGAAAUAGAUGUAAGAAGAUAAGUUGUAGUCCCUCUUCCACGGAGUACCAUUUUCGCACGGUUCUAAAAAAUUCAUGGGUCUGGGUAGGACAGGAGAUAUGUCUAAAAUCUCAAAUUGUGUAGUUACCUUCAAACAAGAGUUUUGACUUUAACAAGACGUACAUGACUUUGAUCAACAAUUAACAACCUCACAAAGCAAGAACGUCUUAUUUUUAUUCUACAUACGUAACGAAGAACCGGGUCGAACUCUCUUGGGAGUACAAUUUUUCAUAUUUCGUCAAAACUUCGUUGAGGGUCACAGAAAUCUUCGUAAGUACCAAUUUUUCGUUGCUGUUGGAGUAGUUAAGCUCAACUCGUGACCAGUAGCAGGUUCAACUCGUGAUCCACGGCAGGUUCAAUUUUUUCUCAUCAUACGUUCAUGUGUUCAAACAAAAUCACUCUUUUUACGUAUGACAGAAGAUAUUGAGCAAAGUGAAGUACUAAAGAAGUGGUCAAACAACAAAGGAUUAAU